This 502-nucleotide ribosomal RNA is filed under the name uncultured bacterium. RNAcentral describes it as "partial 16S ribosomal RNA". It matches the Rfam family "Bacterial small subunit ribosomal RNA", at positions 28 to 507 of the family's 1533-position model. The record is from RNAcentral.
GACGAACGCUGGCGGCGUGCCUAAUACAUGCAAGUCGAACGAACCGCGACUAAGUGCUUGCACUAAGUCAAGGUGAGUGGCGAACGGGUGAGUAACACGUGGGUAACCUACCUCAUAGUGGGGGAUAACAGUCGGAAACGACUGCUAAUACCGCAUAGGACAUAGGAUCACAUGAUCCAGUGAGGAAAGGUGGCGCAAGCUAUCGCUAAGAGAUGGACCCGCGGUGCAUUAGCUAGUUGGUAGGGUAAAGGCCUACCAAGGCGAUGAUGCAUAGCCGACCUGAGAGGGUGAUCGGCCACAUUGGGACUGAGACACGGCCCAAACUCCUACGGGAGGCAGCAGUAGGGAAUCUUCCGCAAUGGACGCAAGUCUGACGGAGCAACGCCGCGUGAGUGAAGAAGGUCUUCGGAUCGUAAAGCUCUGUUGUUAGAGAAGAACAGCGCGUAGAGUAACUGCUAUGCGUGUGACGGUAUCUAACCAGAAAGCCACGGCUAACUACGUG